GACGAACGCUGGCGGCGUGCUUAACACAUGCAAGUCGAGCGGUAAGGCCCUUUCGGGGGUACACGAGCGGCGAACGGGUGAGUAACACGUGGGUGACCUGCCCUCAGCUCUGGGAUAAGCCCGGGAAACUGGGUCUAAUACUGGAUAUGACUCCACGGUGCAUGCCGUGGGGUGGAAAGCCUUGUGCGGCUGAGGAUGGGCCCGCGGCCUAUCAGCUUGUUGGGUGGGGUGAUGGCCUACCAAGGCGACGACGGGUAGCCGGCCUGAGAGGGCGACCGGCCACACUGGGACUGAGACACGGCCCAGACUCCUACGGGAGGCAGCAGUGGGGAAUCUUGCGCAAUGGGCGAAAGCCUGACGCAGCGACGCCGCGUGA
This 376-nucleotide ribosomal RNA is filed under the name uncultured bacterium. RNAcentral describes it as "bacterial SSU rRNA". It matches the Rfam family "Bacterial small subunit ribosomal RNA", at positions 28 to 404 of the family's 1533-position model. The record is from RNAcentral.